This 916-nucleotide long non-coding RNA is filed under the name Homo sapiens (human). RNAcentral's name for it is "non-protein coding lnc-CLDN24-4:1". Lineage: Eukaryota; Metazoa; Chordata; Mammalia; Primates; Hominidae. The record is from RNAcentral.
AUGAAGCCAGGUUUUAGUCCCUGUGGGGUGGCUUCAGCAGCUGAGGGGACAUUGGUGACCAUGGCGGUUGUGGUGGGGUCGAGGAGGCUUUGGUGAAGGCCGAGGUCCAGGUGGAGGUGAAGGAAGAGAGGGAGGAAGUGAAGGAGGAGGAAGAGGUGGUGGGGGAGGAGGAGAUAGGGGAGGAGGAGGAAGAGGUGAUGGAGGAUUCCUUUCUGGUGGCCACCGGGGUGGUGGUGGGGUAGAGGAGGAGGAAAGCAGUCUGGGAAGAAUGUGACAGUGGAUCUGUAUGGGCUGAGGUGUCUUCAUUAUGGAGGAAAGGAUCAUGCACUAGUCACUGAGAAUCUGGUCCCUGGAGAAUCAGUUUAUGGAGAGGAGAGAGUCCCCACUUCGCCGGGAGAUGACAGCAUGGAGUCCCAAGCGUGGAACCCCUCCCACAUCAAGCCAGGGCCCAGGUGCUCUCCCUCGGGGCUGCCUCAGGCACCACCAUCUCCCAUGUCUCUGACAUCGUAGGCCCAGGUGGUCUAGUCUAGGCCAUGGAGUCCUCCCACCGCUCUGGCCGUGCCUCGUUAACUUGACCAAGAAGAGGACCAACAUCCUUCCUGUGAGGGAGGGUGCUCGGCAGCAGCACAAGUACCAUGUGCUCAUGGCCGUGGUGAUGUGACUUUUGCUGACGUGGCCCUGCCAGGCCAAACCCGGACUGUGGUCCUGAAUGCCCACCCCUUCCUGCCGAUUGGAGGACACGGAUUUCCACUGAGGCCAAUUGCAGGGAGUCCACAGCCCAGCAGAGGCCGUGUUUGUGUGCGAUGUGAAAAGGAUGGAACAAGAGAACACGAAGCCCCGGAGCAGCUGGCCUGAGAGCCACACCAGAGAGACCAGCUUGUGGUCCUGGGAGUGGACAGGCCACCCGCCAAGGUGA